This is a long non-coding RNA of Bactrocera neohumeralis, 1484 nucleotides long. RefSeq lists it as uncharacterized. The transcript is spliced from 2 exons. NCBI's taxonomy places the organism in Eukaryota, Metazoa, Arthropoda, Insecta, Diptera, Tephritidae. The record is from RefSeq and is a predicted model, not a curated record.
UGCAGUGACACAAAAAAAAAAAAAUACAUAAAAAAACAUACUUAUAUAAAGAACAAAAAAUCAUAAACAUCCAUAUAUUCACACAUACAAUGUAAUAUAUAUUAGUGAGCAGACAAAUAUGUGAACAGAGUGGAGAGAAACAAAAACAAAGUGCAACAGCAAACAGUUCCAAAAAAACAAAAAUAAAACACACAAACCGGGCGCGAAACCACCAAAAUAAAAAUAUUAUAAAUACAACAUACGGGUGCGAAUUUAAAAACAUAAACUUAUAUACAAACAACAAUACCCACAUCAAGCCAGGCAGCUGGAAGACCGAGGAAGAAGAAAAGCGGAAUUGACAAGAAAAGGGGCAUACAAAAGGGGCAAAAGUGAAAUUGCAGCACAUGCCAAAACAAAACUGAUGUUUGUCGUGUUUAUUUGAUCGUUUGCGGCAAAACUCGAGUGAACAUCACUAACACAUAUGCAUUGUUUGGCGCAAUUAAUCGUCUCCAGGGCACUUAAAGCUGGCGAAUUUUUUAGAGGAAGACUAGCGCAGAAAGAAAAAUGAGCACUAGUUUAAGAAAAUACCGCUCGAACUUAAGAAAAGGUACUAAAGAUCGAUUUAAGAACGCAGCUGAGAUUAAGAGUUGAAGAAGCAUCGAAGAUCAAAAUCGGCUUAAUUAGAUACAUAGAAAUGAUAAGAAUCACCCGUGUCGAGAAAAAUAAAAAAAACGUUUAAGCGUUGCGUUAAAACUUAACUGUACGCAAACCAAGUGGAAAUCUGUUUUCUGACAACUUAAAGACGUGGACAAUUCGCAGGAAACUGCCUUCUUCCUACUGUGAAACAUUCCCCAUAUAUAGUAUAAUGAAAUGAUGAUGCAUUUCCAAGUACAAAUCGGACUCAAAAUUUAUAUUAGAGGGCUAAGGGAACGCUGAGAAAUAUAACAAUAUUAUAACGGAAGAGGUGGUACCCAACACCUUAAGGGGGGAGAUACCCCUAGAAUUUUCAAAACAUGCAAAAAACUUUUUCGCUCUAAUCAAUUGAAAAAUUAUUUAAAAAUUUGGUCCCGAAGUUUCAUUGGUUUACUCCCAAAUAGGCCCCAGAAUCACUGCAUUUCAUGCAGCGUCUGUAUAAUACCAAAACUUUGAGGCUCGUUUCCUCUAAACUAGUUUUUUUUAUCCGGCCGCCGAAUUAUUUAUUUUAUUUUAGAGUUGUUUAACUACAUAUUUUGAUGUCGAAAAACACAGGUAAAAAGGGUACAUUUUACAAUAUCCAGGCCUACAUCCCCAAUUUCUCGAAGUUGCCAAAACCAUCUACUAUGCACUUGAUAAAAGAUUUCUGAUUAAAAAAAAAAUAUUUUUUUCCUUUCAGAUAAGAAGAGUAGUCAGGAAGUUGACGGGUGCGUUGAUUUUUCCGCCAUUUUGUUUUUUGUUUUUCCAUAAAAGUGUUUUUAUACUCUCGCAACAAAGUUGCCAAAGAGAGUAUUAUAGUUUUGUUCACAUAA